AUGUCAGCCUUACUUGAUCCCUUCUGUCUCACAGGCUAAUCAUGGUCCCAGCUAGCUGCCUUUGUCCGAUAUGCUGAACAACUUUUAAGAAAAACUUACUCUAUUUCAGGCUGACAACCAGGAAUGGAAUCCGAUGCAAAGCAACUUGAUGGUAUCAGUGAGAUUUGAAAGAUACAUCUAAGACUUUAAUAAGAAGAUUCAGGUCUUAAAAGUGAGGAAAUCAUGGUGGACACUGUCUUGGCACCAUGGACAAUAAUCCUGGUGAUCUUUGCUUCAGUGCUGAUAAUGAGCUUUCUGAUGUUUCUCCCCCCUGUUGCCGUGGUGAUCUGGAAAAUGAAGCAUAUGCCCCAGAUCUCUUUGCAUGGAACUGUAUAACCAGGCCUAAUGGACAAAGAAUCCUGCAACUAAACAAGCUACAAACUUACUCACAACUAGCAACUAUUUAAUAGGAUCCAUCACAAAAAAAUGAGCUUUUCCCAGGCCUAUGGCUGCUGAGGUCCUGCACGACACUGUAUAUAUAACUUUAUAUUAACUUGCUAUAGUUCCUACCACUCUUCCUACAUCUAAUUGACUGCACUGUACUUCAUAUCACUUGUUUCUUGGAUUGUGCUUCUAUUUAUGACCAUAACUGACCAACGUAUGACAAAAAGAAAAACAAGUAGCACAUGCCUUUGUAGUUAUGACCACUUGUAAACAGCACCAAAAAGACACAAAGUAACUAUAUUAGUCUGAAAAGAAUGGUAAGCCCUGAGAGCUAUAUAUAUAUGAUAGAAGCUGAAUAUAUUUUCCCUCAAAGGGAACAGUACAAUGAAUGGCAUAGUCAUUGCUAUUAAUUAACCACAGUCUUGUGUCUGUUUGGUUUGAAAACUUGUUCUUCUGUUUUGACCAUUUCUUGUUGUUGUUGGGUUUUUGGUUGGUUGGGUUUUUAUUUAAUUUUUUCCCCAAAAUUCUAAGUGUCACAACACAAAGCUAUCCCCAUCCCUUGGCUAGAAUUCUUAUGUUCUUUAUAACCCAGUGCUCAAAGCUCAACGGUGCAAAUGUAAAACACAAACUGUGGCAAGUUAAAGCACACAUGCUGCAGGAAUUUCCCCUGAAUUGUAGUGACCGAAUUUACUAUGGAAAACAGAAUGUGAUUAUUUAGGUUUAAAUAUGUCCUGUAGUUUGUGUUCCUUAGUGUGCCUUAGCACUUCUCAAACUGAAUAUUUUGGAAAGGAGGGACUAGGACAAUUAAAAGCUUAUUAGCACUCCUAUCAGGAAAGCAACCUCCAGCAUUUUAUGUCGAACAUACCCAAUGUCAUAAAAGACUGUGGGCCUGAUUCUGCCCUUCUCAUGCUGCGUUUAAUAGGAUGAUUUGUGUUAUAUGUGGUUAAUGCUUUCCACUACCAUGCAGGUUUGCUCUGAGCCACAUUCUGAUCUGUGUAAAUCUGACAUAAACAUGUGCCACUGAUCAGA
Chrysemys picta bellii (western painted turtle) is the source of this 1452-nucleotide long non-coding RNA. RefSeq lists it as uncharacterized. The record is from RefSeq and is a predicted model, not a curated record. NCBI's taxonomy places the organism in Eukaryota, Metazoa, Chordata, Testudines, Emydidae.